This 491-nucleotide ribosomal RNA is filed under the name uncultured bacterium. Its description in RNAcentral is "partial 16S ribosomal RNA". It matches the Rfam family "Bacterial small subunit ribosomal RNA", at positions 28 to 507 of the family's 1533-position model. The record is from RNAcentral.
GAUGAACGCUGGCUACAGGCUUAACACAUGCAAGUCGAGGGGAAACGCCGGGGAAGCUUGCUUCCCCGGGCGUCGACCGGCGCACGGGUGAGUAACGCGUAUCCAACCUGCCUCUGACUGAGGGAUAACCCGUCGAAAGUCGGCCUAAUACCUCAUGGCAUCGUCUGCGGGCAUCCAACGACGAUUAAAGAUUUCAUCGGUCAGGGAUGGGGAUGCGUCUGAUUAGCUAGUUGGGGGGGUAACGGCCCACCAAGGCGACGAUCAGUAGGGGUUCUGAGAGGAAGGGCCCCCACAUUGGAACUGAGACACGGGGCAAACUCCUACGGGAGGCAGCAGUGAGGAAGAUAGGUGAGGGGGCGAGAGCCUGAACCAGCCAAGUAGCGUGCAGGAUGACGGCCCUAUGGGUGGUGAACUGCUUGUAUGCGGGGAUAAAGUGAGGGACGUGUCCUUCAUUGCAGGUACCGCAUGAAUAAGGACCGGCUAAUUCCGUG